This 953-nucleotide ribosomal RNA is filed under the name Haynesina sp. S16. Its description in RNAcentral is "SSU rRNA". It matches the Rfam family "Eukaryotic small subunit ribosomal RNA", at positions 1160 to 1816 of the family's 1831-position model. The record is from RNAcentral. Lineage: Eukaryota; Foraminifera; Rotaliida; Nonionidae.
AAGGGCACCACAAGAACGCGUGGAGCAUGUGGCUUAAUUUGACUCAACGCGGGAAAUCUUACCGGGUCCGGACACACUGAGGAUUGACAGACAAAUACACACUUUUACGGUGUGUGCAUGAAAUAUGCUAGUUCUUUCAUGAUUAUGUGAUAGGUGGUGCAUGGCCGUUCUUAGUUCGUGGAGUGAUCUGUCUGCUUAAUUGCGUUUCACUAAAGGCACAUACACAUAAUAUUGAUGUGUUGUGUAUAAUUUCAUAAUUAUACGCAUACACACAUAUUAUAUUGUGCUUUGAAAGCAACGAACGUGACCGCAACCUCUUGUUGCCUGUAUAUAUGUGUAUUUUAUACACACCACAGGCUAUUAUAAACUAGAGGGACCGCUGUUACUUUCUUUUAAACCAGAGGAAGGUUGCGGCAAUAACAGGUCUGUGAUGCCCUUAGAUGUUCCGGGCUGCACACGUGCUACAAUGAUCAUUGCAGUGCGCAUCUCAUUUUGUUAUACACUGCUUGUGCGUAUGUGCAUCACAAUAUUUAUAUAUGUGUGUGUAUGUAUUGCACGCAGUAAAGCCUACUUCGAAAGUUGUGGGUAAUCAAUUUGAAGUAAUGAUUUCUCCAAAUAUAUACUGCACACUCAUAUACAGUGUCUUAUGUCCAUGAAAAUUUUAUUAUUUUUGUGUGUGCAUUCGAUGCUCGUAUGUGCAAUUGUCAAUUCAUGGUGGGGACAGACCAUUGUUAAUUGUUGGUCUCGGUCUUAACUAGGAAUGCCUUGUACGGGUCUUUGGUUCAACAAACCACCCGGAAUACGUCCCUGCCCUUUGUACACACCGCCCGUCGCUCUUACCGAUGGACUUCUCUGUGAGUUUGAGGGACUGGAUUUUAUAUCUAUGGAAACUCAAACGAACAGUGUGGUCUAAAGGAAAGAGAAGUCGUAACAAGGCAUCCGUAGGUGAACCU